RNAcentral lists this ribosomal RNA (404 nucleotides) under uncultured bacterium. RNAcentral describes it as "bacterial SSU rRNA". It matches the Rfam family "Bacterial small subunit ribosomal RNA", at positions 354 to 776 of the family's 1533-position model. The record is from RNAcentral.
GUGGGGAAUAUUGGGCAAUGGGGGAAACCCUGACCCAGCGACGCCGCGUGAGGGAAGAAGGUUUUCGGAUUGUAAACCUCUGUCCUUGGUGACGAUAAUGACGGUAGCCAAGGAGGAAGCCACGGCUAACUACGUGCCAGCAGCCGCGGUAAUACGUAGGUGGCGAGCGUUGUCCGGAAUUACUGGGUGUAAAGGGAGCGUAGGCGGGAGAGCAAGUCGACUGUGAAAGCUAUGGGCUUAACCCAUAGAUGCGAUCGAAACUGUUCAUCUUGAGUGAAGUAGAGGCAGGCGGAAUUCCUAGUGUAGCGGUGAAAUGCGUAAAUAUUAGGAGGAACACCAGUGGCGAAGGCGGCCUGCUGGGCUUUAACUGACGCUGAGGCUCGAAAGCGUGGGUAGCAAACAGG